GCACAAGCCCAAGGGAUACAAUUUCCGAUGGCCCCCCCACCUCCACCUUCCAUACAUUUUCCUUGGCCUUCACCUCCACCUCCACCUACCGAACAUCAGGUAUAUGAGACUCCUCCAGCUACCUUGCCGGCGCAGCAACAAGAUGAUGGGUUAGACUUUGUCAAUACGCUCUUCGCGAGUGGAGGUAGCGAGCAUCACUCUUCGAUAUUUCCUGAUGUUGAUCUACAGUAGUGGGCUUCCAUUCGAUGUGUUUUGUGAGACUUCAAACUUGUGUCUUGUGAGACUUGUGAAUUCUUAUGUCGAGGUGGAUUUGACUUGUGAGACUUGUGUCUUGUGAGACUUGUGAAUUCUUAUGUUAUUAUUAUGUAUGUGA
Molecule: long non-coding RNA, 373 nt
Organism: Zea mays
Lineage: Eukaryota; Viridiplantae; Streptophyta; Magnoliopsida; Poales; Poaceae
Exons: 2
Source: RefSeq, a predicted model, not a curated record